CGGCCGCGUCGACGCAAGUCGAGCGGUAACAGAUCUAGCCUGCUAGAUGCUGACGAGCGGCGGACGGUGAGUAAUGCAGUAGGAUCUCGCCGGUAGGUAGGGGACUAACCGGUACGGGAAACCCGAGACUAACUACCGCAUACCGUCCGUACGGAAGGAAGGGGCUCCGGCUCCCGCUACGGGAUGAGCCUAUGUCGGAUUAGCUAGUUGGUGGUAAAGGCCUACCAAGGCAACGAUCCGUAGCUGGUCUG
RNAcentral lists this ribosomal RNA (251 nucleotides) under uncultured Halomonas sp. Its description in RNAcentral is "partial 16S ribosomal RNA". It matches the Rfam family "Bacterial small subunit ribosomal RNA", at positions 55 to 294 of the family's 1533-position model. Lineage: Bacteria; Pseudomonadati; Pseudomonadota; Gammaproteobacteria; Oceanospirillales; Halomonadaceae. The record is from RNAcentral.